Molecule: ribosomal RNA, 1286 nt
Filed under: Chromobacterium violaceum
Lineage: Bacteria; Pseudomonadati; Pseudomonadota; Betaproteobacteria; Neisseriales; Chromobacteriaceae
Description: bacterial SSU rRNA
Rfam family: Bacterial small subunit ribosomal RNA
Source: RNAcentral
CUUGAACGCUGGCGGCAUGCUUUACACAUGCAAGUCGAACGGUAACAGGGUGCUUGCACCGCUGACGAGUGGCGAACGGGUGAGUAAUGCGUCGGAAUGUACCGUGUAAUGGGGGAUAGCUCGGCGAAAGCCGGAUUAAUACCGCUUUAGCCCUCAGGGGGAAAGCGGGGGAUCGAAAGACCUCGCGUUAUACGAGCAGCCGUCGUCUGAUUAGCUAGUUGGUGAGGUAAGAGCUCACCAAGGCGACGAUCAGUAGCGGGUCUGAGAGGAAUCGACGCCACACUGGGACUGAGACACGGCCCAUGACCUACGGGAGGCUAGCAGUGGGGAAUUUUGGACAAUGGGGGCAACCCUGAUCCAGCCAUGCCGCGUGUCUGAAGAAGGCCUUCGGGUUGUAAAGGACUUUUGUCAGGGAGGAAAUCCCGCUGGUUAAUACCCGGCGGGGAUGACAGUACCUGAAGAAUAAGCACCGGCUAACUACGUGCCAGCAGCCGCGGUAAUACGUAGGGUGCGAGCGAAAACCAGAAUUACUGGGCGUAAAGCGUGCGCAGGCGGUUGUGCAAGUCUGAUGUGAAAGCCCCGGGCUUAACCUGGGAACGGCAUUGGAGACUGCACAGCUAGAGUGCGUCAGAGGGGGGUAGAAUUCCACGUGUAGCAGUGAAAUGCGUAGAGAUGUGGAGGAAUACCGAUGGCGAAGGCAGCCCCCUGGGAUGACACUGACGCUCAUGCACGAAAGCGUGGGGAGCAAACAGGAUUAGAUACCCUGGUAGUCCACGCCCUAAACGAUGUCAACUAGCUGUUGGGGGUUUGAAUCCUUGGUAGCGUCUGUAACGCGUGAAGUUGACCGCCUGGGGAGUAUCGCCGCAAGGUUAAAACUCAAAGGAAUUGACGGGGACCCGCACAAGCGGUGGAUGAUGUGGAUUAAUUCGAUGCAACGCGAAAAACCUUACCUGCUCUUGACAUGUACGGAACUUGCCAGAGAUGGCUUGGUGCCCGAAAGGGAGCCGUAACACAGGUGCUGCAUGGCUGUCGUCAGCUCGUGUCGUGAGAUGUUGGGUUAAGUCCCGCAACGAGCGCAACCCUUGUCAUUAGUUGCCAUCAUUCAGUUGGGCACUCUAAUGAGACUGCCGGUGACAAACCGGAGGAAGGUGGGGAUGACGUCAAGUCCUCAUGGCCCUUAUGAGCAGGGCUUCACACGUCAUACAAUGGUCGGUACAGAGGGUUGCCAAGCCGCGAGGUGGAGCUAAUCUCAGAAAACCGAUCGUAGUCCGGAUCGCACUCUGCAA